This 622-nucleotide ribosomal RNA is filed under the name uncultured bacterium. RNAcentral describes it as "bacterial SSU rRNA". It matches the Rfam family "Bacterial small subunit ribosomal RNA", at positions 8 to 634 of the family's 1533-position model. The record is from RNAcentral.
AGAGUUUGAUCCUGGCUCAGAAUCAACGCUGGCGGCGCGUCUCUACAUGCAGAUCGCACCUGAGAAAGGGAGCAAUCCUUCAGUAAAGUGGCGCCCGCGCGAGUAACAGGUGAAUCAUACAGUCUUAGGAGGGGAAUAACACUGGGAAACCGGGCUAAUACCGCAUAAGCUCCGUGCCAGAGGAUUUUAAGCACGCCUAAUCGUCUUACCGACGGAGGAGCCAGCAGCGUAUUAGCUAAUCGGUGGGGUAAUGGCUCAUCCAAGCGAAGAUCGGAAACCCGUCCAGAAUAGCGCACGGCCACACUGGCACUGAAACACGGGCCAGACUCCUACGCGAGGCACCAGUGGGGAAUCUUGCACAAUGGGGGAAAUCCUGAUGCAGCGACGUCGUGUAAGUCAGAAAGGCCUUCGGGGUGUAAAGCUCUUUCGACAGGAAAGAUAACAUGCAAGGUACCUGGAGAAGAAGCUGCAGCAUAUAACUACGUGCCAGCAGCCGCAGUAAUACGUAAGCGCACGCUUCGUUCGGAAUUACUGGGCACGAAGCCUGUGUAGGCGGAUUCGGCGGCUUGGUGUGAAAUCCCCUCCAACAGAGCUCUACAAUCCGAGGGGUGCGCCGAAAACU